RNAcentral lists this ribosomal RNA (465 nucleotides) under Vreelandella stevensii. RNAcentral's name for it is "partial 16S ribosomal RNA". It matches the Rfam family "Bacterial small subunit ribosomal RNA", at positions 338 to 795 of the family's 1533-position model. The record is from RNAcentral. Lineage: Bacteria; Pseudomonadati; Pseudomonadota; Gammaproteobacteria; Oceanospirillales; Halomonadaceae.
CCUACGGGUGGCAGCAGUGGGGAAUAUUGGACAAUGGGCGAAAGCCUGAUCCAGCCAUGCCGCGUGUGUGAAGAAGGCCUUCGGGUUGUAAAGCACUUUCAGUGGGGAAGAAAGCCUUGGGGCUAAUACCCUCGAGGAAGGACAUCACCCACAGAAGAAGCACCGACUAACUCCGUGCCAGCAGCCGCGGUAAUACGGAGGGUGCGAGCGUUAAUCGGAAUUACUGGGCGUAAAGCGCGCGUAGGCGGUCUGAUAAGCCGGUUGUGAAAGCCCCGGGCUCAACCUGGAAACGGCAUCCGGAACUGUCAGGCUAGAGUGCAGGAGAGGAAGGUAGAAUUCCCGGUGUAGCGGUGAAAUGCGUAGAGAUCGGGAGGAAUACCAGUGGCGAAGGCGGCCUUCUGGACUGACACUGACGCUGAGGUGCGAAAGCGUGGGUAGCAAACAGGAUUAGAUACCCCAGUAGUC